RNAcentral lists this ribosomal RNA (506 nucleotides) under uncultured bacterium. Its description in RNAcentral is "partial 16S ribosomal RNA". It matches the Rfam family "Bacterial small subunit ribosomal RNA", at positions 29 to 523 of the family's 1533-position model. The record is from RNAcentral.
AGUGAACGCUGGCGGUAGGCCUAACACAUGCAAGUCGAACGGCAGCACAGGAGAGCUUGCUCUCUGGGUGGCGAGUGGCGGACGGGUGAGGAAUACAUCGGAAUCUACUUUUGCGUGGGGGAUAACGUAGGGAAACUUACGCUAAUACCGCAUACGACCUACGGGUGAAAGCAGGGGAUCUUCGGACCUUGCGCGAUUGAAUGAGCCGAUGUCGGAUUAGCUAGGUGGCGGGGUAAAGGCCCACCAAGGCGACGAUCCGUAGCUGGUCUGAGAGGAUGAGCAGCCACAAUGGAGCUGAGACACGGUCCAGACUCCUACGGGAGGCAGCAGUGGGGAAUAUUGGACAAUGGGCGCAAGCCUGAUCCAGCCAUACCGCGUGGGUGAAGAAGGCCUUCGGGUUGUAAAGCCCUUUUGUUGGGAAAGAAAUCCAGCUGGUUAAUACCCGGUUGGGAUGACGGUACCCAAAGAAUAAGCACCGGCUAACUUCGUGCCAGCCGCCGCCGUAA